This 251-nucleotide ribosomal RNA is filed under the name uncultured prokaryote. RNAcentral describes it as "partial 16S rRNA". It matches the Rfam family "Bacterial small subunit ribosomal RNA", at positions 525 to 775 of the family's 1533-position model. The record is from RNAcentral.
ACGUAGGGAGCGAGCGUUGUCCGGAAUUACUGGGUGUAAAGGGCGCGUAGGCGGGGAUACAAGUCAGAUGUGAAAUAUCCAGGCUCAACCUGGGGGCUGCAUUUGAAACUGUAUUUCUUGAGUGAUGGAGAGGCAGGCGGAAUUCCGAGUGUAGCGGUGAAAUGCGUAGAUAUUCGGAGGAACACCAGUGGCGAAGGCGGCCUGCUGGACAUUAACUGACGCUGAGGCGCGAAAGCGUGGGGAGCAAACAG